CCUGGGGAGAGGAAGAAGCAGAUAGAGCAAAGGCCUCCUCUUUCCGUUCGCUCUUCCCGAAGUGAGCGAAUUGCAUGUAGAGAUCCGUAGGGGCUUAUAGUUUAAUUGGUUGAAACGUACCGCUCACAACGGUGAUAUUGUAGGUUCGAGCCCUACUAAGCCUAC
Molecule: transfer RNA, 165 nt
Filed under: Helianthus annuus (common sunflower)
Lineage: Eukaryota; Viridiplantae; Streptophyta; Magnoliopsida; Asterales; Asteraceae
Description: hypothetical non coding rna
Rfam family: tRNA (bases 91-164)
Source: RNAcentral